Molecule: long non-coding RNA, 3701 nt
Organism: Gasterosteus aculeatus aculeatus (three-spined stickleback)
Lineage: Eukaryota; Metazoa; Chordata; Actinopteri; Perciformes; Gasterosteidae
Source: Ensembl
GGAAUCUCUGAGAAAUAGUCGCAGACUUUUUGACACUAUCUGCGAUUGGGAAUUAGGGCUUGUAAUUAAACUGCGGGGACUCAACUCAGCACACAGAGUAAGUAAGGCUGCAGCGUCGUGCCUUGCAUGCAUUUUUUUGUGAUUAGCUGAUGAUUCUGCACCAAACAGUGUUUCUAUCCUCUGUGCUUUUGUUGCGGUUCUUUACACCGUCGUCUAAUUUGUCGGGCGUUACAGAACUCACAGAACGGCGAGAACAGAACUUGAUGAUCCUUUGUUUUUUUAAGCGUCAGCUCUUCUGGAGCCAUUACCAGUCACUAGAGAGAUCAAGGUGAGAAUUUAAAUGAGACAUUUUCUGCCGCAGUUUUAAUUUGAACGGGCUUCUGAGCGACCGUCAGACCCCGAGAGACGUUUUCAGUGGGAGAAAUGUGUCCAGAAAUACUAAAUAAUGAAUAUGUACAGCAGCAGAAUAUUAAAGGAGCAUUACAGUGAUGCAGGAUAGUCGUUGAGGAACGUCAGAGACACUCAACGUAUACACGAGGGGGUAUGACUGAAACUUCUGAUAAGAAAAUAAGACUUUUUUAAUAUUUAAUAAAAUAUUAGAAGUAAGACGAACAUACAGCCCUUUAUAAAAUAAAAUAGAGGGUUUUACGCGUCAUCGAAAGGAUAAUCCUGUGAAAAGGUUGUGAUUUCCCUCUUUUCUCGUUCUAGUUUUACCACAAAGAGAAGUUACUACAUCUUAGAAUAAAUAUACAUAUUUCGAUUAAUAGAAUACAAUAAAUAUAGUAAAUAAUCUAAAACUAAAUUAUGGUUGUAUCAUUUGAAUGGUUUAUUUUCGGAUAAAAAAGAAAUAAAAUAAGACAGAAAAAGAUAUUGCAUUAUUUUUCUUUCUUUUGAGAACGAAUCUUAUUUUCAGCCAUAUAAUAAUAAUAAUAAUAAUAACAACCAAACGAUUAUGGCUAUUAUUCCCGUUGUUAUAAUGAUGCUAUUCGUAUUGUAGUAUUUAAUGGAAAUAUUUAAGACAGUUACGAAUUUAUAGACAACAAGAAUACUACAAUUACACUACGCCUAGUAAUACUAACAAUGUACUUCGGAUAUCAUGGCUUUCUCUACGGGAACGAAACGCGGAUCAACCUGCGCUCACUUUAACACUUUAUUUACCGCUUUCCUUCAAAGCCGUUCGGAAGAAUAAAAAAAGAACAGAAUAGAGAGUGAGUGACAGACCAAAGCCAACGCUUUCUAAGAGAAGUAAACCGCCGUUUAUGCUCAAAGACACUUGUAAUCGCUCUGUCUCAGUCUCUGGGUCCAUUCGGCCCAAAACAAAUAGGGUGUGGUGUGAGAGAGGAAAAUCGGGACAAGCGAGGAAGACGACGGGAAGAAAGAGCUGGUGCGAUGGGGAGGAACCGAAGGACACGGUGCAUUUCCUUCAAACUGGUAAAAGAGACAAUAAAGAGAGUUAUCAACAGACUUCUGCGCCUUUUAUCUCUUUGUUGGAGGAUCUGAGAAGGCGUUCCACGCGAUUACUUCAUGAUGAGAAUGAAUUCCCCUGUCUCUGUUAUAUUGUAGGCCUCCAACAUAUGAAAGAACCCACUUGAAAACCUGCAGGUUGGGUCGUGCUCACCUUUUUGCCUUGUGGCUUUUGUGGCGUUUCCUAUAAAGGAAACAUUUGCAAAACAGCCACUAAGAAUCCAAGAGAUCCUCUUGCACGAGGAUCUCUCCUCUUGGGUGUUUUAUUUCCUCAAGGCUCUCGCUUUAUUGCUGCUGUUCAGUGCUUUUGUUGAGUCUGAAUAUUCUUUUUUUUUAAAUUUGAGAAUAUGAUGACCAGUCUUUUGGUACAAAUGUGUUGACAUCGAGUAUUUGCAUCGAAUGCCAAAAGCAGCGUGUUGCUUCUAUCGGAGGCUCAAGCUAAACAAACAAGCUUCUUGGUCAUCUGGAUUUAACAAUAAACUCAAAUUAAAAACGAUUAGAAAAAAAAUACCCGUGUUGAAUCUUGUCGUUGGGCCAUCUCGGCAUCAUGAUUGUUCCAAUUUGUUCGGAGAAAAACGCGAGUCUUAUUUUGGGAAAAUCCUCUCUAUUUUAUCGCAGGGAAUUUAGGCUCGACUUUCGGCCUCUCGGCUUCCGUCUGCGCUGAUCCGGCUUACAGAGAAGACCGGUCCAUCUCCUCCCUUUCUUCCUUAUUUACUCAGAACUCCUUUGUUAUAUUGCCUUUGCGUGUGAGCAAAGGUGAAACAGCUCCUGAAAUCUGCUGCUUCAAACUUUUGUUAUAAAAAAAAAGUCAGGAAAAACGGAAAAAACUUUCUGCAGAUUUUGGAAUGAGAGCUGAACAAAAAUACAUCCCUUAAGAUUGAGAGUGUGUGCAUGAACGUUUAUCUUCAUAUCUUCAAUGGAUUUUCAGGAAUGAGCAGCCUUGUGUUUAUUUCGAAUUAAUCACAAUCAUAUUACUAAAUAUGUAUUUAAAAUAACUAACACGUUCAUUAUUUGUAGAAGCGACAUUGGUCUGACACAAUUGUGUUGAUUUAUUCUGUGUUUGGUGUAAAAACAGCGCUUCCUACCAGGGAGGGAGUGUGAUGCUAACAAUGGGCCUGGAGCCAAAACCUAUUGACACAGAAGGCAGAGGGAAUCUACCAGAAAGCUGACUUUUUAGCUUCCUGGCUGCGAUUGGCCGGCUGUCUGGGCAGUGAUAGCAGCCCUGGAGCCGAGGAUGAUUGAUGACGGCGAGGGCAAGACCGAGCGCUGGCAGCAUAAAGCCACAUCGACGCCUCAAUAAAGAGCCUGGCUAGUGGAGAGCCUGGGCCCCGCUCAAUAGGGCCCCUUUCGCCUCCGAGGACCCACGGCCAGAGGACUACAUGGAGGGAGAGAGAGAGAGAGAGAGAGAGAGAGAGAGAAGGAAAGGUACUCUGUUGUUAGAUAAUCUGUUUAGCUAUCGAGCCAGCAGCCGUCUGAGGCUGGAUAAGUGCAGCGACGGAUGUGUGGGGGGGGGAUGUGGAGAGGGAGAAAAAGAGAGGGAGAGAUGGAUCAUCCAGUCUCAGGAUUUAUAAUGGUGGAUGAGGGGUGGGGGGUGGGAUCUGCAGAAUGCUUUUCACACGAGCUGGAAAAGAUCCCCAAAAGUUGACCGCGAGAAAGUGAUUCUGCUGCUGCUGCUGCUGCUGCCGCCAGUCAGCCUACAGAUUCAGGACUGUCGUGACCUCUGCUUCAGCAGAUCAAUGAGACCCUGUUGGGUUGGAUUCCACCGGUGCAGCGUCCACCGCUGUGGCCCCGGUCCGCAGGCCUCCCUGCGGUAACCUCCCCCCCCCCUCCCCCUCCAGUGCACAGCGGCUCUGAAAAGCACAAUUAGGCAGCAAUCUGCUCCCACCAAGCCAGCUUUCAGUGACUCCAGCAUGGAGACACGGUGUCCUGCAGACCCUCCCUGGCUGGAGUUGGCAGGACGGAGGUCUGAGAGUGAUGGCCUGGUCAGCGUCGUCACCCUGCAGGGAGCACGGAGUUCAAGGAGGAGAAGUUGUUUUGUAUCCGUGGCAAUGUGUUGCACUUACUUAAUCAGAUUUGCUGACUGACUCAGACAAAAAUAAAGCAUUUGAACAAAAUGAAACAAGAGGCUGUAAUUGUUUUUCUAUCAAAGCUAAAAUGUAAUAAUUUUUUGCAACGCUUUGUUGUAAUGAGUAUUGAUUUUCAUUUGAAUCUCUUUCAAAUAAAUCUACACAAAGUAA